GCCGGAAUAGCUCAGUUGGU
Molecule: transfer RNA, 20 nt
Filed under: Heteroscyphus zollingeri
Lineage: Eukaryota; Viridiplantae; Streptophyta; Jungermanniopsida; Jungermanniales; Lophocoleaceae
Also listed under: 6 other names
Description: partial tRNA-Phe
Source: RNAcentral